This 600-nucleotide ribosomal RNA is filed under the name Triticum aestivum (bread wheat). RNAcentral describes it as "partial small subunit ribosomal RNA". Lineage: Eukaryota; Viridiplantae; Streptophyta; Magnoliopsida; Poales; Poaceae. The record is from RNAcentral.
AUGUUUCGGUUUGAAUCGUUCUGGCCAAAAUUUCCUCACUUCCAUGAGCCGGUGAACAAAGCUUGGAACAGACCCGUCAACCACUCAUGUGCUUUCGUUAGGCUGAAGCUGAAACUUUUGAGAACAGCCAAAGAUCUGAAAAUUUGGAGCAAGUCACAUUUCAGUGAUGCUAGAUUGCAGUUCCACAUUGCUUCUGAAAUCAUUCUUCGCCUCGACGUCGCCCAAGAAUCAAGGCUGCUGACUCCUUUGGAGCUCACACUGAGAAAAAAUCUAAAAACCAGGCUGCUUGGACUUGCUGCUAUUGAGCGUGUUCGGAAAAGGCAGGCAUCUAGAAUCACCUGGUUGCGAGUGGGGGAUGCAAAUACAAAAAAUUUCAGUGCAAAAAUCAACUCAAGGCGUCGCAAAAACUUCAUCGCUGCAUUGAAAACAAAUGAGGGGCUGGUCACUGCCCAUGAAGAAAAGGAGAAGUUCAUUUUUGAACACUUCAACAGUCUGUUGGGAUCUAAGCAAGACUGCCCAAAAAUGAUCAACUGGGAUGAGCUUCAGUUACCGUCCGUUCAGGGUGGGGGCCUUGAUAACCCAUUCACUAAAGAAGAGAUU